UACGUAGGGGGCAAGCGUUGUCCGGAAUCAUUGGGCGUAAAGAGCGUGUAGGCGGCCCGGUAAGUCCGCUGUGAAAGCCCCGGGCUUAACCCGGGAAUGGCAUUGGAUACUGCAGAUCUGGAGGAUCGGAGGGGGGACUGGAAUUCUUGGUGUAGCAGUGAAAUGCGUAGAUAUCAAGAGGAACACCAGUGGCGAAGGCGAGUCCCUGGACGAUACCUGACACUGAGGCACGAAAGCUAGGGGAGCAAACAGG
This 253-nucleotide ribosomal RNA is filed under the name uncultured bacterium. Its description in RNAcentral is "partial 16S ribosomal RNA". It matches the Rfam family "Bacterial small subunit ribosomal RNA", at positions 524 to 776 of the family's 1533-position model. The record is from RNAcentral.